AGUGAACGCUGGCGGUAUGCCUAACACAUGCAAGUCGAACGGCAGCACAGUAAGAGCUUGCUCUUACGUGUGUCGAGUGUCGGACGGGUGAGGAAUACAUCGGAAUCUACUUUUUCGUGGGGGAUAACGUAGGGAAACGUACGCUAAUACCGCAUACGACCUACGGGUGAAAGCAGGGGAUCUUCGGACCUUGCGCGAUUGAAUGAGCCGAUGUCGGAUUAGCUAGUUGGCGGGGUAAAGGCCCACCAAGGCGACGAUCCGUAGCUGGUCUGAGAGGAUGGUCAGACACACUGGAAGUGAGACACGGUACAGACUCCUACGGGAGGCAGCAGUGGGGAAUAUUAGGCAAUGGGGGAAAGCCUGAUCCAGCCAUACCGCGUGGGUGAAGAAGGCCUUCGGGUUGUAAAGCCCUUUUGUUGGGAAAGAAAAGCAGCAGGUUAAUACCCCGCUGUUCUGACGGUACCCAAAGAAUAAGCACCGGCUAACUUCGUG
RNAcentral lists this ribosomal RNA (492 nucleotides) under uncultured bacterium. RNAcentral describes it as "partial 16S ribosomal RNA". It matches the Rfam family "Bacterial small subunit ribosomal RNA", at positions 29 to 507 of the family's 1533-position model. The record is from RNAcentral.